RNAcentral lists this ribosomal RNA (327 nucleotides) under Triticum aestivum (bread wheat). Its description in RNAcentral is "partial small subunit ribosomal RNA". The record is from RNAcentral. Lineage: Eukaryota; Viridiplantae; Streptophyta; Magnoliopsida; Poales; Poaceae.
AUGGCGAGCGACCGGAGCGGGGCGGGGCGGGAGAGGUUGUGGAUUCUACUGGGAUGUUUAUGUGCUUUGGCGCCGCGCGCGCGCUGGGCUGGCGGCUGUCGAGGCGAGCCGGGGCUGGGGUGGGGAGAGUGGAGUGGAGUAGUAAAGUGGAAGAAGCCGACGAGAGGGGAACAAGAGCGUGAGCACAACUGGUUAGGGAACAUCGAGGAUUCGAGGGCCAAUUUAUGGUUCAUGACUCGUACUUCCUGCUGUGAGAGGAGAGGAGGAUUUUGCCACUGGUCUCUGUGUUUUCGCUUUCUUUCUAGGUUCUGUCUAAGACACGUCUAA